AACGAACGCUGGCGGCAGGCUUAACACAUGCAAGUCGAACGCACCCUUCGGGGUGAGUGGCAGACGGGUGAGUAACGCGUGGGAAUCUACCUAGUUCUACGGAACAACAGAGGGAAACUUCUGCUAAUACCGUAUACGCCCUAUGGGGGAAAGAUUUAUCGGAAUUAGAUGAGCCCGCGUAAGAUUAGCUAGUUGGUGAGGUAAUGGCUCACCAAGGCGACGAUCUUUAGCUGGUCUGAGAGGAUGAUCAGCCACACUGGGACUGAGACACGGCCCAGACUCCUACGGGAGGCAGCAGUGGGGAAUAUUGGACAAUGGGCGCAAGCCUGAUCCAGCCAUGCCGCGUGAGUGAUGAAGGCCUUAGGGUUGUAAAGCUCUUUCAGUGGGGAAGAUAAUGACGGUACCCACAGAAGAAGCCCCGGCUAACUUCGUGCCAGCCGCCGCCGUAACAC
Molecule: ribosomal RNA, 452 nt
Filed under: uncultured bacterium
Lineage: Bacteria
Description: bacterial SSU rRNA
Rfam family: Bacterial small subunit ribosomal RNA
Source: RNAcentral